GGAUAAAAGAACGAUACAGAGAAGAUUAGCAUGGCCCCUGUGCAAGGAUGACACACAAAUUCGUGAAGUGUUCCAUAUUUUU
RNAcentral lists this small nuclear RNA (82 nucleotides) under Nannospalax galili (Upper Galilee mountains blind mole rat). The record is from RNAcentral. Lineage: Eukaryota; Metazoa; Chordata; Mammalia; Rodentia; Spalacidae.